GAGAACAACUUUCAUGUUUUUAUUGCUGCCUUAGAAGCAAUUGAUAAACAGUACACUUCAUAUAUAAAUGAGCAUGUGUCAAUAUAUGACAACAAAAAUAAAUUACAGUGACAUAGUAUUUAACUUUACAAGGUUGUACAAAAUUUCCAAAUAUGAAUAGAUUUCAACUUAAAAUUUUGAAAUAAGUUAAAACUUCAACUAUUCUGAAGACUUAAAAAUAUACAUACAGUUUCACUCAAUCACAUCAUUUACAGUAUGAUUUUUUUUUUAAGCUGUUUAUUCUUAUACAUCCAUAUAUUUUUGACUGUAUUAGUGGAAUAUAUCCUGCUAUAUGCAGCUUUGCUGCAGUGGGAUAAAAGGGUUCCCUGAGGGCACAGAACAGGCUUUGAGUGUUUAUAUUUUAAAUAAUUUGAUUACAUAUAUUAGCUAGAAAUAUAAACCCAAAGUGUUAUUUAUCUGUCCUAUAAUGAGAGACUGAUUUAUCUGCUCUUUCUAGAAUUUCCAUUGAUGCUAAUGAGAAUUUUGAAGAAAGCUUAACAGCAGGAUUGAACUAAACUAAGUCUGAUUAGCCAGGAUGAAUUAGGUCAAACUAUUUAAUGAAAUAUUUGAAGAAUAUCUGUUUAGUAUUAGAUGUCAUUAUAGACUACAUAGCUAGUCCUGGCUAUGCACUGGCAUAUUUGCUUCCACAACUAAUAGAAAAAUAUAUUUGAUAUGAUACUUUGAAGUGGUGGGAUGGAUUAUGAAUUGGCAUUUUUAACACCUCAAUGAUAUGCACAUGAUUACUUUAUUAAAUAUUAUAAAGAUUAAAAGCAUUUCCCAAAACUCCUUGGCUGUUGAGUAUGUGAUAAUUGAGAAUUCCAAGGGUCUAAUUCAAGCUGUAAAAUAAGGUAAGGUGGAGGAAAUUCAUUCUGUGGCUGGAUCACUCCUGAUAACUUUAACUAAGGCUGGUGCAAACAGACUCUGUGCACCAUCAAAAAGGCAAAGUCUUGUCAAUUCAGAAACCAUUCAUAAGAAAACAGAUAAAGAAAGAAAUUUUAACAAACUGGCACAUGUGAGAAAAUUGCUCAAUUGUCAAAAAAAAAGAAAAAAAGAGGAAGACACUUGCACAGAGUGGGUGUUAAACUGCCUGCAAUUAAUUUGGUAAGAAAUAAAAAAGAAAUCCAAGAUGCCUAUUUGUGAGACUGAAUUUUCUUUUCCUUGAAUAUGUUAAAAUAUCUAUCAGAAUGCUGCACCAGUAAUCCACAAUCUUUCCUCUAAACAAAUAAAUGUUCUGUGUACAUCAUUUAAAUGAAAAAUGAAGAAAAGGAGCCAUAAACAGGCCAGAGCUGUGCAAUGCCUCAUUUCCAUUUUCCUCUAAUGUUAUUGGUAAUAAAGACCUCUGCAGUCUACAAUUUUCAGGGAAAAUUAUUUUAGAAGCCACUGUUUUUGUUGUGUGAAUAUGCUGUCACUGGGCAGCAGGAAGGAGGAAGGGAACUGGAAGGAGAUAUACAUACAUACAUAUAUAUAUAUACAUAGACACACAGCAAUUUCACUGAACAACAGACUGGGUCAUUAAGUGAAUUAAUAGCAGUCAAAGAAUAUUGCAGCAUAUGACUGGAGUCAAAAUUUUCUUCUACAAAUCUGCACCUAAGGGGAGUCCUCCCACACUGAAGGGAAGGACAGUUUCCCCAAAGGAAAGCAUCUACAUGACGAAGACUUCAAAACACUUUCUAGAUUGUUUACCCCUCUUGCAACCUGUAAUCUCAAAUUACUUCAAUCAAAACAAUUACAUUUCUCUUAAUUGCUUGUUCUGUGUUCUGCCCCUGUUUUGGCUCCUGAGAGGAAAAAAAAUGACAUGGAAAUAUAUCUCAAAAGUUCAAGGAACAUGUAGCAGUUAUGUAAACCUUACCUCACCGACUGCUUGGCACACAGUGUAUUACUGUACAAUCAGAUAUGUCUUUUAUAUCCCAUAAUUUGUUUUUAUCUUAACUAGCAAGCUGCUCUAUGAGCAGCAACCAAAGAAAUGAGUUUAUCUCCUUAUAUUAAUGCAAUUGUUAUCAGGGGCAUACAGGGUAAAAAUAAUUUGUAGAUUAAUGUAUCUGCAAGGAAAUUUCCACAUGGGAAGGUGCCACCUGAUUAGUUUUCUGUGGAGAGUUAAAAAAAAAAAUUAAAAAAAAAAAAAAAAGGUGUUAAAGCAUCUUGGCAGGAGAAAAGUCUCUUAAGACCACAAUGUUCCACUGUGAUAGUUCAGUGGGAGCCAAGUUUUGACAGCACAUUUUGGGCUGAUACCCAUGUGGUGAAAGGAGAAAUGUGAGCUCUUGUGGGACUCUUGACCUCUACUGAUAUAUUGAUUUUUCUACCAACACACAGCCAUCCAUAUCCUGCCCUCAGGACUGCAAUGGUGGCAGUCAUGCCAGAGGGGAGAGUAAAGCAUUUGAAUCACUCUCAGUACAUCUCUUACUCUCAUUUUUAUUAACUGCAAAAGGGAAGGUUCCUCUAAAAUUCUGAAGCCAAGGAAAACGAUUGCUCUUCAUCCUUAUCUGCCUCUACUCUUCCAAUUACUGUGCUAGUGUCUUGCAAACUGCUUCCAAUAUGAACUAGGGCCAAUUAUAAUUUAUGAGAGUUUAACAAGACAUAGAAUUUAAUUACAUGGCAGAAAAAUUGCUGCAGAGUAAGGCAGGUGUUAGCAAACAAAGAUCAACUUGGCCAAUAAUUUAAAAAAUGCUAAUAUUCUGUCUAGUACCUGAAUGGGUAGCUACGACUAGAUCAAUAGACACCAGAUUUUGAGUGAAUGCUCAAGCACUGUCUUUGUACACAGCAGAAGUUGAGGGGCUCUUUCCUACUGUUUCCUGUUAUUUUAUGAGUUUACUGUACAUUCAGCUCCACUGGUUUUGAAGAAAAUCAGUUUUAUAAGGCAUUAAAUUACAAAUUCCUUUUCAUGAGAUUGGUUUCUAAGAUGAUUAAUUACAGCAUGCAAUUUCUUCAUAUAUUUCAAAAUCAGAAAUCUACAGGCAAAAGUAAACCUAUUUAAAAUUUUAAAGCCUUAAAAGUAUGUGUUCAGAUAUUGUCUCUGGGACUUGUUUACUCCAUAACCAGCAGAACAGAAUGCUUUCAAGUAAUAGUAACAUAUCAGGAAACACAUAAAAUAUGUUCAUCAGAUUCCUGCAAUGUUAUCUCUAUUUCUAUCACAAAAAUACUCGCUAUCUCCAAAUAGAAGCAGGAAGCUUAUGGCUCUUUCUUGUAACAACUUGACUGGUGUGGCCCACACCCUUCCUGCUUGGGGUGGCAGGGGCAGGAGUUCAAUUCCAACUUCCUGUGAGGCAGAAGUCCCAUGACUGCUGGUCAGCUUUGAGACAGGUGGAAUUGGGUUGAGAAGCAACUGGGUGAUGGGACACCUCUAGAAAACCAGGGAUAGUUCAUAUCAAAAAAACCAACAUCUUCAUUGUCAUCUAACAUCUACAGCUUACAACUACAAAACUUCACAUUAUAUUUAUCAUUUUCUUACCUUUUUUUUGCAAGGCAAUUAGUUGUAUUUCAGGCUUUUUAUAGCUUUAACUAAGAGCUCUUGUGUGCACUUAAUACAUAGAUUUCAAUGAUCCAUCCCUAUGCAGCUUGAUUUGGAGAACAGCUGUCCAUCCUCAGUCUUUAUAUUUCACCUCUAACGAUGGAUUCUGUAUCAGUCGAUAUGCAUUGCAAGGACUAAAAACCAAAAUCAAACAAAACCAAAAGUGGCAUGUAUGCACAUUAGUUUAAGUCUCUUGGUAUUUUUCAUGCUGAUCUUGUCUCACAGUAGGAGAAAUAUGCAACUAUGUAAUGUAGCUGUACUGUUUUGAAAACAAGUGAAAGGACCUGAAAGGACCUUCCAUCAUACUUGGUAAAGUGCAGGGGCAGAGCAGGGGAUAAAUGCUGUUCUCUCCUUUCCACAGAAGAUUUUGUUCAGAUUACCCUAUGGCCAAGAAAUCACAUUCAUUUUGAAUAAAGGAAUGAAACAUUUACUCAGAUGUACUUCUACAGCCUGAAAAGUGGAAAGUUUUUGUCCUAAUAGCACUUGUUAAAUAAACAUCAUCAAUGGAGAUAUGAAGCAAGCAAAUGGGAUGUACUUCUGAAUCAGAAAACUACAUGCCAAUUGAGGAUAAAAGCUGUUUAACUCCAGCAGUAUCUGAUUUCAUAUAGCUUUGCAGAUGCAAAGAAAUUACAUAUUUAUAUAUUGAUGGCAGAGGGUAUUCAAUAGUUAUAUUCAAUAAAUAUAUGUGAUGGGUAUGUUCAAUAGGAGGGGAGUGAUCUAUGGGAAGAAUAAAAGUAAUGAGGGGAUAAAAGUACUGAGCAUCAGGAAAUACAGCACAGGCCUAUUUCUUGUGAUGUAUCUGCAUAAGCAUAGUGCAGCACUGUGUAGGGUUCAAAGAAAAUUGGCUUAUUUGCUUUCCCCCAUGGUGUUAAUUAGUCUGUGCCACAAUUGUAAUUAUAAUUCUUGAUGUAGACACAUUAAGCACAAUUUAAGGAAGACCCUUUGGCCAUUUCCUCAUCCCUUUGGCAUCUGUAGAGUAGGUAGUAUUUCAGAAAUGACUCCAGUUGUUUUGUUACCCAAAGAUUUCAAUACAGAAGAAAAAUAGGCUCAAGAAGACUGGAUGUUUUGAAACUACAUAGGGAAUCUGAUUCUUGUCCAGAGACUUUAUUUCCAUGAUAGUGUAAAAAUGUUCAGAUCUUUUGAGUAUUUUCAGUAUAUUAACUAUGCCUGUAUGAAUUAAUUGAAAAAUAAAUGUUAAGUUCUCUUGGCACAAUAACAUCCUGUGCUUCUCUGAUUGUUAGGCAUGGUUGAGUGAUGAUUACCAGAUCAUUUCGAGAGUGCUUUCAUUCCAGAAAAUGCACGAAAUAACUUUGGUGCAGGAGCAAGAAAGAAUCUCCCACCAAAUUCCUGGAAAAUGCAUAUGUACCCAGACAAACAAGCCCUGCUUACAUAUUAAGGCCUUACUAUUUAGUCCUAGUGUGCUAUAAAAAGGAUCUCUUCACAGAGGCCUGAGUGGGGUGUCAGGGUGCUCUGCCAACAGUGUAGCUGAUGGUGAUGGCUCACAGAGUCAUUCAUACACUGAACUUUUUUGGGCACUGUUUACAUGUGUUUGUUCACCCUUAUGUAAGGAGGAUGUACACAUCUAUAAAGCCUUUAAAUGUCUUGGGUUUUUUUCCACACUUUCUGCCAAGUUACAUAAAUUUUACAGCUUCACUAGCUGGGAAAAAAUUUACCUCUCCUCACCACUGUUAGAUUGAAUGGUUUUAUUGUAAUUUUCAUAAGACACUACCUUAAGCCUGCAUCACACAGUCAAGGAUUUAUUGUUUGAAAACUCAGAAGGGGGUGAAUGAUCUAGAUAUAGUGGGUAUUUCUUAGUCUUACCAGGCAAAUGAGGUUUUUAAAUCUUGCAAAAUUCCACCCAUGAGACUGGUAAAUGGAAAGCAUUAUACUAUGCAAAAGAAAGGGCAGAGCAAUAGGAUGAGAUGAGGGAGGAUGGUAAUUUUUUAUUUCUUCUCAUUUCUAAUGGAAGAAGUGCUGUUCUUACCUCAAAGACUUUGCAGUGGUGACUUGCUGUGAUUGUAACAGUUGCCUCCAACUGUUUUCAUAGUGACUGGAUUUCUCUUUCAAUUUUGAGAAACUGGCAGUGAUGUUCACAUGGACAUAGGAGUUCCUCUUACAUGAACCUAGAUAGAAUCUACUCUGAAGCCUUUUUUUCAUAUUUGAAAAAAAGCCAGUUUGAGUUUGGGUAAUGUAAUGGAGUUAAAUCUAGUGCAGCCUUGAUGCAAUAGCUCAGUAAAUGAAAUAUGUUUGUGCAUUUCUAAAUUUUGUGUAUUGUCUAAAAAGCCAGAUCAAUACACUGAAAACACCAUCUCCAGAAAUAAGGACAAUGCAAUUGUAAAAAUUGGAAAGAUUUUGCACUAAGGAAAGAUGUGGAAACUUUUCUUGCAGAUAAGCAGAAGAGACUAAAGCACAGUUUCACUGUCCAGUUACAGCUGAUGAGGCAUCAAAGGCAAUGUUUAC
This 6004-nucleotide long non-coding RNA is filed under the name Taeniopygia guttata (zebra finch). RNAcentral's name for it is "lncRNA (ENSTGUG00000028819.1)". Lineage: Eukaryota; Metazoa; Chordata; Aves; Passeriformes; Estrildidae. The record is from RNAcentral.